This is an RNA transcript of Musa acuminata subsp. malaccensis (wild Malaysian banana), 880 nucleotides long. RefSeq lists it as uncharacterized. The record is from RefSeq and is a predicted model, not a curated record. NCBI's taxonomy places the organism in Eukaryota, Viridiplantae, Streptophyta, Magnoliopsida, Zingiberales, Musaceae.
UUCCUAGUCCCCUCCCUCUGGUCCCACGGGCUCCUCAUCGUCGACUACAUCCACUUCCGGUACAAUGGCUACCUCCUCGGCUUUCUCCUCCUUUUCCCUCUCUCUCUGCUGGAGGAAGGAAAGGAUCUCGCCGGGGGGCUCAUCUUGCCCGUCCCUUUCUGCUUCUUUCACCACUUCUUUGUGCACCUUCUCAGGCAUCACUGCAGACGCGGGCCGUGGGAGGCGUCAAGGAGAUUUCUGACCAUGGGCAUCGCAGUGAGUACCGUAUCGCCGCGGCGUUCGGUCCAUUCUUGUUCUAUGAGCAGAUGCAACAGGUACAUAGUUGUUUAUUUCCAUUUGGCAGGGGUUAUGCAUGCCGACUGGGCUUCACAUUUUGGGUACCUUGCAUAGUUCUUGACAAAGCCCUUGCUUUUGUGCUUGCAAAGCUGGAACUUGAUGUUCCUGCUCCUAAAGCGUCUUCCUGUUGGGCUGGUUGGCAAUUGCUCCCGUUUUGCUCUGCUUCUACCAGGACUACUAUAUGUUGUUGCUUCCAAAAGUGAUUAUUCAGCUAGGAUCUGUCAUCUUCAAGCUUCUGAAUUGAUGUGUCACCCUGUUGAUAGCCUUCUUCCAGAAGCCCCAGCCAAAGCACAUAAUUAGAUGGGUGACAUAUGCCUUUACCCACACAUCACUUCAUUUUAAAACCCCACUUCCUAUAAUUUAAAUAAAUAGCUUGAAUGAUGCGAGACAUUGUCUCGUGCUGUUAAUAGACAGCAAACUGCCACUUAUAUGGUCCUUGGAUUUGUGGCCUCUUCAAUUCAGAUUACAAAACUCUGUAUUAUUGAUGUGCGUGUAGUAACUCAAAUCACACCAUUAUUGGAAGCUUAUUUUCAUUGAUUUGCUA